This is a long non-coding RNA of Lemur catta (Ring-tailed lemur), 235 nucleotides long. RefSeq lists it as uncharacterized. Lineage: Eukaryota; Metazoa; Chordata; Mammalia; Primates; Lemuridae. The transcript is spliced from 3 exons. The record is from RefSeq and is a predicted model, not a curated record.
UUUCAGUACUGACCAACAUUUUUGUUUUUAAUCUCAGGACUCACUGGAUUCAAACACAUUAAUUCAUCUUAAAAUCUUUAGGAGAUGCUGGAAAGACGCACUUCCACAACAGCAGAACUCGAGCAAGGUGAUGACUGACAACUGCAGGACCUGUAAUAUAUUCAACUUGUCAUUUGAAGAGAUACUACGCUAAUCCCUACAGCAAAAUAAAUUCAAUACUUGUUGCUCACUACUU